AUCUCAAAAAUUGCAGGGGAGCCAUCCAGAUUUCUGUCAGCCAUUCUAACCCUAAUAGCUAAGGCCGAGUUUUGUUGAGAGGAAGUGAUUUCACCACAGCUGCACACAGGGGGCAGGGAGGCGGCAUGUCUCGAAGGGUCCCAAGUGAACUGGUGAAAAAGCAAAAAGCAAAACAAACAAAAGGCUACCGGCUUUGACGGCAGGUGCAGCUGCUAAGGGCUGCCAGCCCCUGCCCCCACCUCUCUUCACAAGGAAGGUUUAGGACAGCAGCACCAUAGGUGGCCUCUGGGUUCUUACAGCCCUGGGGGGCUUUCAGUUAGCACCCUGUUGCCACGCCGCAGCCGCCCUGCCGCCGCUGCCACCACCACCACCGCCACCACCACCUUCUCCUUUUGAACAGAGAGCUCUUUUCCGUUUUCAACUUCCUUCUUCCCAGAUCAGUUGCUGAAUUCUCUGAUGCGACAACAGCUGCACAGGAUACAGUGGUCAACUGUAACAGGAGCAAUCCUGACAAACAAGUAAGGGGAGGCACUAGCGCUGGGGUUGCCAUUUCAAGCCUGAGUCAAGCAGGAGCUGGAGCCCAAGGUGAGUGGUGGUUGUUGCCACUAGGCCACCUGCACUAUAGGACACAAGCUGCUGGACAGGAUCGGCUACAUAAUUUGCAGAUCCAUUGCCAAACGAAAACAUGGGGCCCCUUGUUCAAAAAUUAUUAAGAAUUUCAAGAUAGCAACAGAGAACUAAACCAAGCGCAGGGCCCUUCAGUGUGAGGCCCUGUGCCACUGCACAGGCUAUGUGCCCGAGAGGCCCACCCUACUGCUGAGCAUGGAGAGUCACACAAGACCUGUGGAGCCCUACUGUCCCUGCAACGUGGCGGAGGAGGACAACUGUCUUCCCAGUGACCUGACUCCAGAGGAACGGCAAGAAUUGGAGAACAUCCCCGGAAGAAAGCAGGAGCUGCAGGCUGAAGUAUAGAGACCGAAGGCUGAGAUAGAAGAAUAGCUAACGAAAUUGAGAACUGGGAUCCACAGAAGAAAGCAACAUAUGUGGAGCAAUAAAGAGGUGGCCUGAUGCAGGUUCUAAAAAGGGGAUCCCGUUCUUAACAGAAUGGUUGAUUGAAGAACACUUGCGAAGACAUGUCCCAGUUCUUGUAGAAAGGUGAAGGACUCGGUCAAACAGCCACUAGGGACUCCCUGCGGGAGAGAGGAAUUUAUUAUCUAGGUUCUUCCUGCUUUUGUGGAGGUGCAUGAAUUCACUGAUCUAACCUUUACCCAGCCAGUUCAGUAAUUCCUGUGGAGCUUCUGAACGCCGAGGCGGCGCCGAAGACUGAUGGGAUGAUGGAGGCACUUGCCCAGUGACACCGUCAGUGUAAUAAAGGAGGGCUUUAGUGCAGACUCUGACGUUCUCUCCUUUGCCACAUCUUGUUGAACACCAGCCCUACCCCCAAAGUCAGACAAGCCCACAGCAGAAAGGUUCACUGCCACUAAUAGAGGCAUCAGUGAUGGAGGAGCAACUCUAGAAUCUGUCAUUUCCCACAGCCACAUUAACAGCGCUAGCCUCUCGCUUGCUUUCCCCUAUUCCC
RNAcentral lists this long non-coding RNA (1579 nucleotides) under Equus caballus (horse). RNAcentral describes it as "lncRNA (ENSECAG00000051650.1)". Lineage: Eukaryota; Metazoa; Chordata; Mammalia; Perissodactyla; Equidae. The record is from RNAcentral.